UUCCGUAGGUGAACCUGCGGAGGGAUCAUUACCGAGUUUACAACUCCCAAACCCAAUGUGAACGUUACCAAACUGUUGCCUCGGCGGGAUCUCUGCCCCGGGUGCGUCGCAGCCCCGGACCAAGGCGCCCGCCGGAGGACCAACCAAAACUCUUUUGUAUACCCCCUCGCGGGUUUUUAUAUCUGAGCCAUCUCGGCGCCUCUCGUAGGCGUUUCGAAAAUGAAUCAAAACUUUCAACAACGGAUCUCUUGGUUCUGGCAUCGAUGAAGAACGCAGCGAAAUGCGAUAAGUAAUGUGAAUUGCAGAAUUCAGUGAAUCAUCGAAUCUUUGAACGCACAUUGCGCCCGCCAGUAUUCUGGCGGGCAUGCCUGUCCGAGCGUCAUUUCAACCCUCGAACCCCUCCGGGGGGUCGGCGUUGGGGAUCGGCCCUUUACGGGGCCGGCCCCGAAAUACAGUGGCGGUCUCGCCGCAGCCUCUCCUGCGCAGUAGUUUGCACACUCGCAUCGGGAGCGCGGCGCGUCCAUUGCCGUAAAACACCCAACUUUCUGAAAUGUGACCUCGGAUCA
This 566-nucleotide ribosomal RNA is filed under the name Trichoderma spirale. Its description in RNAcentral is "eukaryotic LSU rRNA". The stretch from base 229 to 382 matches the Rfam family "5.8S ribosomal RNA". The record is from RNAcentral. Lineage: Eukaryota; Fungi; Ascomycota; Sordariomycetes; Hypocreales; Hypocreaceae.